AUACGGAGGGUGCAAGCGUUACUCGGAAUCACUGGGCGUAAAGCGCGCGCAGGCGGCUUGAUAAGUUGGAUGUGAAAGCCUACGGCUCAACCGUAGAACUGCAUCCAAAACUGUCAGGCUAGAGUCUGGGAGGGGAAGAUGGAAUUAGUUGUGUAGGGGUAAAAUCCGUAGAGAUAACUAGGAAUACCAAAAGCGAAGGCGAUCUUCUGGAACAGUACUGACGCUGAGGCGCGAAAGCGUGGGGAGCAAACAGGAUUAGAUACCCCUGUAGUCC
Molecule: ribosomal RNA, 274 nt
Filed under: uncultured bacterium
Lineage: Bacteria
Description: partial 16S ribosomal RNA
Rfam family: Bacterial small subunit ribosomal RNA
Source: RNAcentral